CAGUAGCCGCGGGAAUACGAAGGGGGCUAGCGUCGCUCGGAAUUACUGGGCGUAAAGGGCGCGUAGGCGGAUGUUUAAGUCAGAGGUGAAAGCCCAGGGCUCAACCUUGGAACUGCCUUUGAUACUGGACAUCUUGAGUAUGGGAGAGGUGAGUGGAACUCCGAGUGUAGAGGUGAAAUUCGUAGAUAUUCGGAAGAACACCAGUGGCGAAGGCGACUCUCUGGUCUGUAACUGACGCUGAGGAGCGAAAGCGUGGGGAGCGAACAGGAUUAGAUACCCCAGUAGUCCCUGUCUCUUAUAA
RNAcentral lists this ribosomal RNA (301 nucleotides) under uncultured bacterium. RNAcentral describes it as "partial 16S ribosomal RNA". It matches the Rfam family "Bacterial small subunit ribosomal RNA", at positions 509 to 809 of the family's 1533-position model. The record is from RNAcentral.